This 204-nucleotide long non-coding RNA is filed under the name Mytilus galloprovincialis (Mediterranean mussel). Lineage: Eukaryota; Metazoa; Mollusca; Bivalvia; Mytilida; Mytilidae. The record is from RNAcentral.
AUAUUAAAUAAAAUUGAGAAUGGAAAUGGGGAAUGUGUCAAAGAGACAACAACCCGACCAAAUAAAAAACAACAGCAGAGGGUCACCAACAGGUCUUCAAUGUGGCGAGAAAUUCCUGCACCCGGAGGCGUCCUUCAGCUGGCCCCUAAACAAAUAUAUACUAGUCCAGUGAUAAUGAACGCCAUACUAAUUUCCAAAUUGUAC